AGCUCUGUAAGCGUAUACCAAAGUUGUUGCAGUUAAAACGCUCGUAGUCGGAUUUUGGCGUGUACUUCUGAGACCCCUGAUGGGUGUUGAAGGUUUGUUACCGCCUUUGCGGAGGGGGGUGUGGUGGUGCUUCAUUGUAUCGCUGCAUUUCCGCCGCUGUUUACUGUGAAAAAAUUAGAGUGUUCAAAGCGAGCGAUUGCCAUGAAUACAUUAGCAUGGAAUAAUAGAAUAGGACCUGGUUCUGUUUUAUUGGUUUGUCGGUAUCAGGUAAUGAUUAAGAGGGACGGUCGGGGGCAUUUGUAUUCCAGGGUUAGAGGUGAAAUUCUUAGAUCCUUGGAAGACAAACAGCUGCGAAAGCGUCUGCCAAGGACGUUUUCA
RNAcentral lists this ribosomal RNA (378 nucleotides) under uncultured eukaryote. RNAcentral's name for it is "SSU rRNA". It matches the Rfam family "Eukaryotic small subunit ribosomal RNA", at positions 587 to 972 of the family's 1831-position model. The record is from RNAcentral.